RNAcentral lists this ribosomal RNA (1372 nucleotides) under uncultured bacterium. Its description in RNAcentral is "bacterial SSU rRNA". It matches the Rfam family "Bacterial small subunit ribosomal RNA", at positions 28 to 1381 of the family's 1533-position model. The record is from RNAcentral.
GAUGAACGCUGGCGGCGUGCCUAAUACAUGCAAGUCGAGCGAACGGACGAGAAGCUUGCUUCUCUGAUGUUAGCGGCGGACGGGUGAGUAACACGUGGAUAACCUACCUAUAAGACUGGGAUAACUUCGGGAAACCGGAGCUAAUACCGGAUAAUAUUUUGAACCGCAUGGUUCAAAAGUAAAAGACGGUCUUGCUGUCACUUAUAGAUGGAUCCGCGCUGCAUUAGCUAGUUGGUAAGGUAACGGCUUACCAAGGCAACGAUGCAUAGCCGACCUGAGAGGGUGAUCGGCCACACUGGAACUGAGACAUGGUCCAGACUCCUACGGGAGGCAGCAGUAGGGAAUCUUCCGCAAUGGGCGAAAGCCUGACGGAGCAACGCCGCGUGAGUGAUGAAGGUCUUCGGAUCGUAAAACUCUGUUAUUAGGGAAGAACAUAUGUGUAAGUAACUGUGCACAUCUUGACGGUACCUAAUCAGAAAGCCACGGCUAACUACGUGCCAGCAGCCGCGGUAAUACGUAGGUGGCAAGCGUUAUCCGGAAUUAUUGGGCGUAAAGCGCGCGUAGGCGGUUUUUUAAGUCUGAUGUGAAAGCCCACGGCUCAACCGUGGAGGGUCAUUGGAAACUGGAAAACUUGAGUGCAGAAGAGGAAAGUGGAAUUCCAUGUGUAGCGGUGAAAUGCGCAGAGAUAUGGAGGAACACCAGUGGCGAAGGCGACUUUCUGGUCUGUAACUGACGCUGAUGUGCGAAAGCGUGGGGAUCAAACAGGAUUAGAUACCCUGGUAGUCCACGCCGUAAACGAUGAGUGCUAAGUGUUAGGGGGUUUCCGCCCCUUAGUGCUGCAGCUAACGCAUUAAGCACUCCGCCUGGGGAGUACGACCGCAAGGUUGAAACUCAAAGGAAUUGACGGGGACCCGCACAAGCGGUGGAGCAUGUGGUUUAAUUCGAAGCAACGCGAAGAACCUUACCAAAUCUUGACAUCCUUUGACAACUCUAGAGAUAGAGCCUUCCCCUUCGGGGGACAAAGUGACAGGUGGUGCAUGGUUGUCGUCAGCUCGUGUCGUGAGAUGUUGGGUUAAGUCCCGCAACGAGCGCAACCCUUAAGCUUAGUUGCCAUCAUUAAGUUGGGCACUCUAAGUUGACUGCCGGUGACAAACCGGAGGAAGGUGGGGAUGACGUCAAAUCAUCAUGCCCCUUAUGAUUUGGGCUACACACGUGCUACAAUGGACAAUACAAAGGGCAGCGAAACCGCGAGGUCAAGCAAAUCCCAUAAAGUUGUUCUCAGUUCGGAUUGUAGUCUGCAACUCGACUACAUGAAGCUGGAAUCGCUAGUAAUCGUAGAUCAGCAUGCUACGGUGAAUACGUUCCCGGGUCU